GACGAACGCUGGCGGCGUGCCUAAUACAUGCAAGUCGAACGAGAGCGACCGGUGCUUGCACUGGUCAAUCUAGUGGCGAACGGGUGAGUAACACGUGGGUAACCUGCCCAUCAGAGGGGGAUAACAUCCGGAAACAGAUGCUAAAACCGCAUAGGUCUUCGAGCCGCAUGGCUUGAAGAGGAAAAGAGGCGCAAGCUUCUGCUGAUGGAUGGACCCGCGGUGCAUUAGCUAGUUGGUGAGGUAACGGCUCACCAAGGCCGUGAUGCAUAGCCGACCUGAGAGGGUGAUCGGCCACAUUGGGACUGAGACACGGCCCAAACUCCUACGGGAGGCAGCAGUAGGGAAUCUUCCGCAAUGGACGCAAGUCUGACGGAGCAACGCCGCGUGAGUGAAGAAGGUUUUCGGAUCGUAAAACUCUGUUGUUAGAGAAGAACAAGUGCUAGAGUAACUGUUAGCGCCUUGACGGUAGCUAACCAGAAAGCCACGGCUAACUACGUG
Molecule: ribosomal RNA, 498 nt
Filed under: uncultured bacterium
Lineage: Bacteria
Description: partial 16S ribosomal RNA
Rfam family: Bacterial small subunit ribosomal RNA
Source: RNAcentral